GUCAGGAGAUCAAGGCCAUCCUGGGCAACAUGGUGAAACCCUGUCUUUACUGCACUCCAGCCUGGCAACAGAACGAGACUCCGUCUCAAAAAAAAAAUUAGCUGGGCAUGGUGGCGCGUGCCUGUAGUAGGGCUCGGGAGGCUGAGGCAGGGGAAUCGCUCAAAAAAAAAAAACAACUGUGCCCAGAGGUGGGCACAGAAGACACCCUUGCCCUCCGACUCUGAAAAGCCCCUAAGACCAGAUCCCACUUAAUCUCUUUUCUCCUAAGGUCACCUGGUGUUCAGGAAAGAACUUCGGAGUGUCCCAGGCGCUGCCCCCAUGGGGGCCUCACCCAGUUGAGGUCCCCAUCCCAUCAUCUUAAGAGGAACACCACAGGUUAACCCAAGCGCUGCCUCUAGGCAGGAGAUCUGCAGACACCUGGUCUGCAUGGAACCUGGAGCACUAAUCCAUAAGUGGAGCCUGGGAAGGGGACCUUGUCCUAUCCCAGGACAGAGGAGAAAGCAAGUGAGUGUCAGGGUGCAGGGGCACACCUGGUCCAUCAGCCCAGUGCAGGGAGUCCUGCCAAUUUCAAAAGGCAAGGGUGGGGGCUUCAGACCAAGUGGUCCUGUGCUCUCCCCAUAAUAUUGCUAGGGAACAGAAAGAUCAUGGAUGUGUGCACAGAACACACUGAGAUAGCUUCACAGAUAGGGCCUCCACACACCCUCCUCAGUUCACCCACCACUUCCAUCAUUCUUGUGCUUAUGAUGGUCCUGAACCAAACGUUGAAGGUGCAGCAGUGGCCAAGAGCUGUCCUGGGCCUCCUGACAACUGAGGAGCUGGAUGCAGCGGGGCUCUUCUCAGCCCUGAGUCAGAGGUGAAGACUCUUCCGCCAUCCUGUCAUCAGAUUCGUUCUCCUAACAAGCUCGCAUCCUGGGCAGAGCUUGUUCGUGUGAUGCCCACUUUAGAGGUAGAGCUGGGAGAGAACAAGGUGUUCCCCCAGGGCUCCUUCGCCUGGGAAUCCAGCUCCUCCAGCUGGAGCCCCGAUGCUCUGAAGCUAGAGCCUCACUUUCUCCCAUCAAACUCUGGCUCUGCCCCUUCCCAGCUCUGGGAUUUUGGUCAAAUUCCUUGCCUUCUCUGUGCUGAAGUUCCCCUAUCUAAACAAUGGGGAUUGUUAUGAAGGCUAAAUGAAAUAAACAUGCAGCA
RNAcentral lists this long non-coding RNA (1182 nucleotides) under Homo sapiens (human). Its description in RNAcentral is "long non-coding RNA NONHSAT152738.1". Lineage: Eukaryota; Metazoa; Chordata; Mammalia; Primates; Hominidae. The record is from RNAcentral.